This 1112-nucleotide ribosomal RNA is filed under the name Ambispora leptoticha. Its description in RNAcentral is "bacterial LSU rRNA". It matches the Rfam family "Bacterial large subunit ribosomal RNA", at positions 1818 to 2925 of the family's 2925-position model. The record is from RNAcentral. Lineage: Eukaryota; Fungi; Glomeromycota; Glomeromycetes; Archaeosporales; Ambisporaceae.
GGUCCGUGCGAAGUCGCAAGACGAUGUAUACGGACUGACGCCUGCCCGGUGCUGGAACGUUAAGAGGACCUGUUAGCUCUUCGGGGCGAAGCGGAGAAUUUAAGCGCCAGUAAACGGCGGUGGUAACUAUAACCAUCCUAAGGUAGCGAAAUUCCUUGUCGGGUAAGUUCCGACCUGCACGAAUGGCGUAACGACUUGGGCGCUGUCUCGACCACAGACUCGGCGAAAUUGCACUACGAGUAAAGAUGCUCGUUACGCGCGGCAGGACGGAAAGACCCCGGGACCUUUACUAUAGCUUGGUAUUGAUGCUCGGUUCGGCUUGUGUAGGAUAGGUGGGAGACUGUGAAAUCGCCACGCCAGUGGUGGUGGAGUCGUUGUUGAAAUACCACUCUGGUCGAAUUGGGUGUCUUAACCUCGGGCCAUGAUCUGGUUCAGGGACAGUGCCUGGUGGGUAGUUUAACUGGGGCGGUUGCCUCCCAAAGAGUAACGGAGGCGCCCAAAGGUUCCCUCAGCCUGGUUGGCAAUCAGGUGUUGAGUGUAAGUGCACAAGGGAGCUUGACUGUGAGACUGACGGGUCGAGCAGGGACGAAAGUCGGGACUAGUGAUCCGGCACCACCUUGUGGAAGGGGUGUCGCUCAACGGAUAAAAGGUACCCCGGGGAUAACAGGCUGAUCUUGCCCAAGAGUCCAUAUCGACGGCAUGGUUUGGCACCUCGAUGUCGGCUCGUCGCAUCCUGGGGCUGGAGUAGGUCCCAAGGGUUGGGCUGUUCGCCCAUUAAAGCGGUACGCGAGCUGGGUUCAGAACGUCGUGAGACAGUUUGGUUCCUAUCUAUUGCGGGCGUAGGAAAUUUGCGGGGAGCUGUCCCUAGUACGAGAGGACCGGGAUGGACUAACCAAUGGCGUACCAGUUGUCAUGUCAAUGGCACGGCUGGAUAGUUAUGUUAGGAAUAGAUAAGCACUGAAAGCAUAUAAGUGCGAAGCUAGCCCCAAGAUGAGAUUUCCCAUUCCGAAAGGAAAUAAAAUACCUUCCAGACUAGGAGGUUGAUAGGCAACAAAUGUAAGCAGAGUAAUCUGUUCAGUUAAGUUGUACUAAUUUAUUGAGGACUUAUUUUU